This is a non-coding RNA of Phalacrocorax carbo (great cormorant), 3147 nucleotides long. The record is from RefSeq and is a predicted model, not a curated record. Lineage: Eukaryota; Metazoa; Chordata; Aves; Suliformes; Phalacrocoracidae.
AUGAGGGCGAUGCCCGGGGAGCCGGGGGACGCCCGGGCCAGCGGGUCCGGCCCGGGGGGGGGAUGCUCAGCCGGGGCCCGGCGGGGAGGCUGCGGCGCUCGCACCCGCCGCUCCGUGCGCGCCCCUUCCCCGCGGGACCCGGCCACGCGUGUCGGUGCCGGCCCGGGGACCUCCCGCCACGCUCCCAGGUUCCAGAGCCAGGGAAUGGUGACGCAGCUUGGAUCCGAUGGCUGCGGUGCUGCCGACUUGCCAGCUUUCAUUCCAAGCUUCCUCCCCGCCUGCGAUCACAGGAUCUGCUGUCAGCACCAGGGCACAGCACUGCCUUCUCAGACACUAUGUAAAAAGUAAAAUAAACCCUCUAAUCCAGGGUCUGUGUUUGAUAAGGAGAAAUUGCACAGCUCCGCUGGUGGCAGGGGCAGAGGAGCCAGCCCUGUGCUCGGCGCAGAGGCUCGUCGUCCCUUCGGACCAAAGUGCCACGGGGGAGCAGCCAGCCCUGCAUCUCCGUGUCCUCUUUGGCCCAGAUCUCCUCAGCCCCUGGAGGUUACGUGGCUGCUUUCAUCUGAGGAGCAUUUCCAGGGCAGCCAAGUCCCUGGCCAGCCGAGGAGGACGGGACCGCUCACUGAGAGCAGGCAGCGGCUGGGCUGUGGGCUGGCGGAGGGGCCGGUGCCCGGGCUGGGCUCAGCACGGUGCUGCCGGCAGAAGCGUUGCCCUGGGGAAGGGGGUGGCCCAGCAGCGGUGGGUGGCCUGGCGUGGGGCUGCGAGGAGGGGGAGCGCAGUCGUUUGCUUCCUCGUCAGGCGGCCGAGAGCAGCAGAAACUCCAUGGAGGUCUUGCCCUGUGGUUCUGGGUCUGGGCGGGUGCAGGGGCUCCACCUGCCUAGGAGGGGAGAUGCUGCUGUGAGUUAUUCCCAGAGCGGGGCUUUGCCAUGUGUCUCCUCUCCUCCAGCGAUGGGCUGCCUGCUUCUCCCCUGCUCGAGACGGGACCCAGCAAAGCCAUGGGCUGCUUCCCGGCAGCAGCGCAGCCAAGAUGCGGCUCCUCUCCCCGCAGUUGCCACCCCCAUGCUACAGCCCCACUAGAAGGAAAGCUCUCCCGCCUCUCCAGGCUCGCUGCUUUUAGGGAAACCUGUGGGAACCUCCUCGCCCUAAGACCAGUCAAUUGGCUGAAAUAGGCUGAAAGGCCCUGGGCGGGCACUGACGCACAGGCAGAUGCUGCCCCGUGCAUGCACGCGUUGCUUUUCUAGGAAGCGGGCUAAAAAUAUUGACCUAGGCUGUGCGGUGAAAGACUGGGCAGAUUCUCAGCUACUGGAAGCCCGAGCGAUUUACAGCCUGUAGCCCGUGCACGUUCCUGGGGCUGCGCUGGAGCAGGGAUGAUCCCGGCAUGCAGCGGCCAGGGCACGUCUCCGUGGGGCGGAAGAGCAGGGAGGCUGCAGGUAUCCCCCUUCUCCAGUGCUGCUGCGGGGGUUUGCCUCUCUUAUUCUUGCCGUUUUUUUAGGUUACUCUCUGCAUUUGGCCAGUGCAUCAGCAGGACGUGGGGAAGGGAGGGCGUGCAGCACGGUGGGAGUGAGACCCAGGGACGACUCGGCGGGUGCCAGCACAGCGGGGUCCUGUGGGGACCCGCGGCACAAGCUGCAGUAUCGGAAAUUUCCCAAACAAAAUUUCAUGCACUAAAUCUCAGGGCUGCAAUUCUGCUGAGACCUGGCUUUAUAAUUGGAUCUGUCAGAAACCCGUCACACUUAAUGCGCAGCUGCCAACACGCCACUCCUCACCGCGCCCCACAGCCAGUGCCGGCUCUGCCCCUCUCCCUGCCCCUCGGCGGGCAGAGCCCUGCGGGCAGCGCGGGGUCCCCAGCCCAGCUGUGCUGCCCGGCCAGGAAAGCCGUGUCCUGAUGUGCCCAUCGCCCCAGCCCACCGCAGAAGCAUCCCCAACUGCUGCUGCCCAGCCCAGUGCUGGGAACGGCUCUGACGGGAGCGCUGCUCGUCCCACCCAUUCCAGACACAACCCCUUGGCAUUCAACAGGCCAACAGCUCUCCCCUCCCAUGCAGAGCAGUGGACUGGGAAUACCUGGCGUCCUGCCCCACACCGGUGCUGCUGGCUGUGGUUGCAGGAGUUUUUGCACCCAGGGGCUGUGGGCUGUGCUGUCACCGUCAGCCUGGCGGGUGCUCCCAGUCCAUCACACCUCGCACGCCGCCCGGCUGCUUCUCCUCCUGCAGCCAUGGGUAUUUCAGCGGAUGGUUUUUGUUCACCAUUUGUUUCCCUUCCGUAGUUUCUCCACUUUUACCCACAAUGGAGCACGGCGGGGCGGCAGCGGCAGCAGGAGAGAGCAAGGAGCUGCUUCUCCUUCCCAUCCCGUGUGGGACCACAUGCCACUCUGCAAUUUGAACAAACUCCAGUCAUGGUUUUUAAGUCCUUUUCGUGUUUUAUGCAAGUGGGCAGCACUUGCCAGGCUUGUAGGAGAGAUGGCCCAUGUAACGCAGAGGCUCCUGCGUGCGGGCCAUGUGGUUGGGCAGGUCUGCUUUGUACCUUCUGUCGGUGAAGCCUGGGAUGCUCAGCAGCUUUGGGGAAAAAAUAAUGCAUAUUUGAGCGUGGUCCUGGAACUUCUUCGAUGUCAUUUGCCCUCCCUGACACAGUGCAGAGCCUGGGACCGUGCAGUGGGACAUCGCAUCCCCUUGAUCAGGUCGGGCUGUGCCUCCCACCCAUUCCUGAAGCCCCUGCAGAGAGGCCAGGGUGUUCAGGGCUUCUGAGGAAACAUCCAGGAUUUUCCAGGAAAAGGACAGGGUUUCUGGUUCCUCUCUCUGCCCCAGGAACCACCAGAUGGGGCUGGGCACUGGGGAAAUCCGGCCACCUGGGAUUUUCCAGCUUGAGGAAGGAUGCAGCUUGCACCUGAACCUCCAGCCCUGGGAGUGGGGCGGUGUGGGCCAGGCCCUGCUUUGGCUUGGUGGCCACCUGAGUUUUUCCUGGAGGUGUCUCAGUUUCCCUCUCUGCCACCGAGAAGGCGAUGGGACGGUGCCGGUGCCAGUGGGGCCGCAGCAGGGUCGGCGAGGCGUGGGAGCCCAGCAGCCUGUGGCUGCCAAGGAGGAGUGUGCCUGUGUGUUCUUCACCUGAGUAAUCAAAAUCUUUAUCCAGUGUUUGAUUAAAGGCCACAAAACAUAU